This is a long non-coding RNA of Equus quagga, 620 nucleotides long. RefSeq lists it as uncharacterized. The record is from RefSeq and is a predicted model, not a curated record. The transcript is spliced from 3 exons. NCBI's taxonomy places the organism in Eukaryota, Metazoa, Chordata, Mammalia, Perissodactyla, Equidae.
CAGCUGAGGCUAAGAUUCGGAGAGAGAAAAUCUAGCCGGAGCCCAAAGGGAAGAAUGCCAGGGAAUUUCUGAAGUGGCUUAUUUCCCAGGGUUAUUGUGAAGUAAGUGAGACAAUAUAUAUAUAAAUGCUUUCUUUAUUGUAAAGGGUGAAAUAGUUCAGUGGUUUAGGGCACAGAUUCUGCAAUCAAGUUCCCUGAGUUUAAAUCUUGGCUCUGUUGCUUUUCUGGCUGGGUGACCUCAGAUGAGGACACUGAGGAGGAGAAAGGUUGAGUACCCUGGUCAAGAUCUCAGAGGUGACAUAUGGCAGAGCCCAGUCAGGUCUAAACCCAAGACUGAUUGUCUUCCAACUGGCAAGUCUACAGCUUUAAUCUCAAUGCACAGCCAUAUUUAAGAUCAUGUCACGACCUUUACAUGGCUUUAUAUGGCUUCUUUGCUUUCUCAAAGUCAAAGGAGUUUUAUGGCUGCAGGACUUUUAUGGUUCAAGUCUUUAAUCCAUUUUCAGUUAAGUUUUGUGUAUGGUAGAAGAUAGGAGUCCAGUUUCAUCCUUUUGAAUGUGGAUGUCAAGUUUUUCCGGCACCAUUUAUUGAAGAGACUAUCCUUUCCCCCUUGUGUAUCUGUGG